AAUAAACCAAUCUUUUAUCUUUUAUUUACAAUGUUUGACUGUUCGUCUUAUCUAAAAAAAAUUUACAAUUAACAUUUUUGUUUUUGUUAGAUGAUAAAUCAUGAAUAGUACUUUACGCGUGACUAAUUUCUUUUUAAUUUCUUGAAAAUAUUUUAAAUAAGACAGAUGAUUAAACACUGGACAUAGAAACCGAAAGUUUGUCUUAUU
This 207-nucleotide microRNA precursor is filed under the name Oryza brachyantha (malo sina). RNAcentral describes it as "MIR812 microRNA precursor family". It matches the Rfam family "MIR812 microRNA precursor family". The record is from Rfam by way of RNAcentral. Lineage: Eukaryota; Viridiplantae; Streptophyta; Magnoliopsida; Poales; Poaceae.